RNAcentral lists this ribosomal RNA (268 nucleotides) under uncultured fungus. Its description in RNAcentral is "partial 18S ribosomal RNA". It matches the Rfam family "Eukaryotic small subunit ribosomal RNA", at positions 99 to 370 of the family's 1831-position model. The record is from RNAcentral. Lineage: Eukaryota; Fungi.
CAUUAAAUCAGUUAUCGUUUAUUUGAUAGUACCUUACUACUUGGAUAACCGUGGUAAUUCUAGAGCUAAUACAUGCUAAAAACCCCAACUUCGGGAGGGGUGUAUUUAUUAGAUAAAAAACCAAUGCCCCUCGGGGCUCCUUGGUGAUUCAUGAUAACUUCUCAGAUCGCAUAGCCUUGUGCUGGCGACGGUUCAUUCAAAUUUCUGCCCUAUCAACUUUCGAUGGUGAGGUAUUGGCUUACCAUGGUUUCAACGGGUAACGGGGAAU